AGUGGCGGACGGGUGAGUAACGCGUGAGAAUCUGCCCUUUGGAUGGGGAUAACGACUGGAAACGGUCGCUAAUACCCAAUAUGCCGAGAGGUGAAACUUAUAUGGCCAGAGGAUGAGCUCGCGUCUGAUUAGCUAGUUGGAGUGGUAACGGCACACCAAGGCGACGAUCAGUAGCUGGUCUGAGAGGAUGAUCAGCCACACUGGGACUGAGACACGGCCCAGACUCCUACGGGAGGCAGCAGUGGGGAAUUUUCCGCAAUGGGCGAAAGCCUGACGGAGCAAGACCGCGUGAGGGAGGAAGGCCUACUGGUUGUAAACCUCUUUUGAUAGGGAAGAAGAAAGUGACGGUACCUAUCGAAUCAGCAUCGGCUAACUCCGUGCCAGCAGCCGCGGUAAUACGGAGGAUGCAAGCGUUAUCCGGAAUUAUUGGGCGUAAAGCGUCCGUAGGUGGUUAUUCAAGUCAGCUGUCAAAGGAUGGAGCUUAACUCCAUAAAGGCAGUUGAAACUGUGUAGCUAGAGUGCGAUAGGGGCAAGGGGAAUUCCCAGUGUAGCGGUGAAAUGCGUAGGUAUUGGGAAGAACAUCGGUGGCGAAAGCGCCUUGCUGGGUCUGCACUGACACUGAGGGACGAAAGCUAGGGGAGCGAAAGGGAUUAGAUACCCCUGUAGUCUUAGCUGUAAACGAUGGAUACUAGGCGUUG
RNAcentral lists this ribosomal RNA (698 nucleotides) under uncultured Oscillatoriales cyanobacterium. RNAcentral describes it as "bacterial SSU rRNA". It matches the Rfam family "Bacterial small subunit ribosomal RNA", at positions 94 to 825 of the family's 1533-position model. Lineage: Bacteria; Bacillati; Cyanobacteriota; Cyanophyceae; Oscillatoriales. The record is from RNAcentral.